ACGGAAGGCAGCAGUGGGGAAUAUUGGGCAAUGGGCGAAAGCCUGACCCAGCGACGCCGCGUGAGGGAAGAAGGUCUUCGGAUUGUAAACCUUAGUCAACAGGGAAGAAGCAAGUGACGGUACCUGUGGAGGAAGCCACGGCUAACUACGUGCCAGCAGCCGCGGUAAUACGUAGGUGGCAAGCGUUGUCCGGAUUUACUGGGUGUAAAGGGCGUGUAGCCGGGUCGGCAAGUCAGAUGUGAAAUCCACGGGCUUAACUCGUGAACUGCAUUUGAAACUGCGGAUCUUGAGUAUCGGAGAGGCAAUCGGAAUUCCUAGUGUAGCGGUGAAAUGCGUAGAUAUUAGGAGGAACACCAGUGGCGAAGGCGGAUUGCUGGACGACAACUGACGGUGAGGCGCGAAAGCGUGGGGAGCAAACAGCAUUAGAUACCCUGGUA
The sequence is a ribosomal RNA, 437 nucleotides long. It matches the Rfam family "Bacterial small subunit ribosomal RNA", at positions 341 to 792 of the family's 1533-position model.